UAUAUUUUAGUGUAAGAAGCACGAAAGUUUUUGAUACUUCAAGAAAUAGUUUAAUUCUAUUAAAUAUAAAAA
This 72-nucleotide transfer RNA is filed under the name Rheocricotopus villiculus. Its description in RNAcentral is "tRNA-Gln". It matches the Rfam family "tRNA". From Rfam's summary of the family: Transfer RNA (tRNA) molecules are approximately 80 nucleotides in length. Their secondary structure includes four short double-helical elements and three loops (D, anti-codon, and T loops). Further hydrogen bonds mediate the characteristic L-shaped molecular structure. tRNAs have two regions of fundamental functional importance: the anti-codon, which is responsible for specific mRNA codon recognition, and the 3' end, to which the tRNAs corresponding amino acid is attached (by aminoacyl-tRNA synthetases). tRNAs cope with the degeneracy of the genetic code in two manners: having more than one tRNA (with a specific anti-codon) for a particular amino acid; and 'wobble' base-pairing, i.e. permitting non-standard base-pairing at the 3rd anti-codon position. The record is from RNAcentral. Lineage: Eukaryota; Metazoa; Arthropoda; Insecta; Diptera; Chironomidae.